This 269-nucleotide unclassified non-coding RNA is filed under the name uncultured Hypocreales. RNAcentral's name for it is "sequence contains ITS2". The stretch from base 1 to 52 matches the Rfam family "5.8S ribosomal RNA", at positions 103 to 154 of the family's 154-position model. The record is from RNAcentral. Lineage: Eukaryota; Fungi; Ascomycota; Sordariomycetes; Hypocreales.
AACGCACAUUGCGCCCGCCAGUACUCUGGCGGGCAUGCCUGUCCGAGCGUCAUUUCAACCCUCAGGGCUCUCCGGCACUGGUCGGAGGGCGCUGGUGUUGGGGAUCGGCAGUCCCAGCGGCUGCCGUCCCUGAAAUGUAGUGGCGGUCCCACCGUGACCUCCCCUGUGCAGUACAUCGCUCGCAGAGGGACAGCGGUGCGGCCACGCCGUAAAACGCCCAACUUCUCAAGGUUGACCUCGGAUCAGGUAGGACUACCCGCUGAACUUAA